ACACACACAUACAUAAAAACACACACACACACAAAUACAUAUGUUCAUACAGACACAUACAUGCAAACACACAUACACACACAGAGACACAUACAUACAGACACACAGACAGACAUACAAACACACAUAUACAAACACACACACAUACAUACAAGCACACACAUAUACAGACACAUACAAAACACACACACAUACAUACAAAUACACACAUAUACAGACACAUACAAAC
Molecule: non-coding RNA, 229 nt
Organism: Pelobates cultripes (western spadefoot toad)
Lineage: Eukaryota; Metazoa; Chordata; Amphibia; Anura; Pelobatidae
Source: the annotation of a GenBank genome assembly